This 71-nucleotide transfer RNA is filed under the name Loxodonta africana (African savanna elephant). It matches the Rfam family "tRNA". From Rfam's summary of the family: Transfer RNA (tRNA) molecules are approximately 80 nucleotides in length. Their secondary structure includes four short double-helical elements and three loops (D, anti-codon, and T loops). The record is from Rfam by way of RNAcentral. Lineage: Eukaryota; Metazoa; Chordata; Mammalia; Proboscidea; Elephantidae.
GCAGUGGUGAUUCAGUGGUAGAAUUCUUCCCUUCCAUGUGGGAGACCCGGAUUCAAUUCCCUGCCAGUGCA